Non-coding RNA from Picea glauca (white spruce), 121 nucleotides. NCBI's taxonomy places the organism in Eukaryota, Viridiplantae, Streptophyta, Pinopsida, Pinales, Pinaceae. The record is from Rfam.
UGAUAUCCACCUGGAUCAGUUAAUGCACUGGAUCCCAUUAGAACUCCAUAGUUAAAAACGCUCUGGCUAGAGUAGUACUGGGAUGGGUGACUGGCCAGGAAGUCCUAGUAUUUUAUAUGCU